This is a long non-coding RNA of Schistocerca piceifrons (Central American locust), 588 nucleotides long. RefSeq lists it as uncharacterized. Lineage: Eukaryota; Metazoa; Arthropoda; Insecta; Orthoptera; Acrididae. The record is from RefSeq and is a predicted model, not a curated record. The transcript is spliced from 3 exons.
GGCCACCACUGGCUAUUCAUAUACGAGCUGGUCACGUGUUGUCAGUAUAAAUUUCAUGGCGGGUGUGUGGUUUGUUUGACCGAAGACGACACACUCCAGCCAUUUUGUAGCUUACGCCACUGUGUGACGUCUAGCAGCACUUGCUGUGCUACAUGAACCGCAUUCCCAGCAAGAGCAUCAGCCACAGCGACAAGGUAUUGUUCCUGCUGUCACACACCCCAGGUAAUGCACACAGAAAACGAGUGGCUGCCAGGCACGUGCCAAAUCCGCCGCAGUUGAGCUUCUGCAGUAGGGGUGUACUCCUCUGCCAGCAUCUCUUCCCCAGAAGCUAGUUCAGAGUUCCUUGAUUCCAACUGUACUUCCUCUGAGCUGCAAGAGAUUUUACAACAAACGCAAAUGUUAAUGGAUGACACUGCAGAAAUAACAUUAGCCACUUACUCAGCAGUUUUGGUGCCCCAAAGUGCACUGAAACAACAGAGGUUAAGCAUGGAGACAUAUGAGACUAUGAAUUUGUCUAAUGCUGAAUGUGGAGACUAGUAUUACUAUACUAGUUAGAUGUCCUGGACAGGAAGCAGCAGAAAUUCAAAA